AUGGGGCUCUGCAUGUCCAGCGGCAGCGCGGCGGCGGCGGUGCCGGCAAAGGGACAGCCUGCCUCGACGGCUAUGGUACUGCUGCCAACGGGUGAGCUGCAGGAGUACCCGCGCCCGGCCACAGCGGGCCAGGCGCUUGACGACUCGGUGGCUGGGGACGCCGGUUGGUUCCUGUGCGACGCCGACGAGAUGCCGUUCGAAGGCCCCGUGGCCGCCGUGGGCGUGGCCGAGGAGCUCCGCCCGGGGCAGAUAUACUUCUUGCUGCCCGCUGAGGCUCGGCGGAACGGCCUCCGGCGCGAGGACCUCGCUGCUCUCGCUGUCAGGGCGUCUGCGGCCCUUGUUAAAAAGGCCAACACCGCAGCAUCGUCUGCCGGCGUUGGACGGCGGAGGCGCGCCGGCUCGGUGGCGCCGCUCGUCUUCGCCCCACCCCAGGAGGUCGUCGAGACCGUCGCUUACAAGACCGUGCCGGCGCUCGCAGCGAAGAGGCGGCCGGUGGCGCGUGCGAAUAGUUCCGGGAGGAUGCAGCCGCGCUUCGCGCCCGAUCUGACCGCCAUUCCCGAGUGCGAGUGA
Molecule: ribosomal RNA, 570 nt
Filed under: Triticum aestivum (bread wheat)
Lineage: Eukaryota; Viridiplantae; Streptophyta; Magnoliopsida; Poales; Poaceae
Description: partial small subunit ribosomal RNA
Source: RNAcentral